RNAcentral lists this unclassified non-coding RNA (834 nucleotides) under Hevea brasiliensis (rubber tree). The record is from RNAcentral. Lineage: Eukaryota; Viridiplantae; Streptophyta; Magnoliopsida; Malpighiales; Euphorbiaceae.
GUUGAUGAUAAAUUAGGUUUCUAAAGCUUUAAUUUCAUGAAAAGUUGUUUAAGUUAAGUUUUAAUGAAGCUUACGCGUAUGGGUUUAGAAGAAACCUAGGAUUUGAGUUUUGAUGAAUGUAUGUGGGUAUUAAACAUGUUUUCUAGUUGUUCUAGGCUCUAGAGAUGUGUAUAUGCGAUGAGAUUAUAUUUUAAAACCUUCAAAUGAGUUUUACGACUUUUGGGAGAAUGGAUCUGCAGGUUUUUGACCUAGGAAUUCUAAAAAUUUCCAAGUUUGGCUGCCGAAAGCUAGAGAUUCAACAGCCGAAGCUUGCAUUUUCUCAGAAAAUCUGGAAAUUUUCCAAGUUUGGCAGCUAAAGUCCUAGACUUCGGCAACUGCAAUGGCUACUGCCCAAAAUGGACACUUAAUGUACUAAGGUUUGGCAGCCGAAACCUAAGGCUCUGGCAGCCAAACUUAGUUCUAUCCACUUUUUUUCUUCUUUGAUUUCAAUGUUCCAAAACCUAAUUUCAUAGUUCCUAAGGGCCUAGAACAUGAUGUUUAUGAUAUGUAUAGAUUUUUAGAACCUUGUGUAACACUCUAGGGUCCGAUUUUAUACAAUCAGGCUUGAGGGACUUGGAAGGGUAAGGAUCCGAGGAUAGCUCCCAUUCGAGUAUGGUGGUUAAUAGGCUACAAGAGGGUUGCAGGACUAGAAGAGUUCCUUAAAGAAAGAGCAUCAGGGGUAGUUUUAGUUCUUUCUUUGUGUAUGAUGUGCGGGUAAAUGGACAUGUAAUUUAUGAAUGGAUAUUACUUUGCUUGUAACAAUCGAGCUCCCACCACUAGAGGAAUUGUCCGCUU